This 263-nucleotide ribosomal RNA is filed under the name uncultured bacterium. RNAcentral describes it as "partial 16S ribosomal RNA". It matches the Rfam family "Bacterial small subunit ribosomal RNA", at positions 793 to 1055 of the family's 1533-position model. The record is from RNAcentral.
GUCCACGCCGUAAACGAUGAUAACUAGCUGUCCGGGCACUUGGUGUUUGGGUGGCGCAGCUAACGCAUUAAGUUAUCCGCCUGGGGAGUACGGUCGCAAGAUUAAAACUCAAAGGAAUUGACGGGGGCCUGCACAAGCGGUGGAGCAUGUGGUUUAAUUCGAAGCAACGCGCAGAACCUUACCAGCGUUUGACAUCCCGCGCUAUCCAGAGAGAUCUGGGGUUCCCUUCGGGGACGCGGUGACAGGUGCUGCAUGGCUGUCGU